Small nucleolar RNA from Cololabis saira (Pacific saury), 163 nucleotides. RefSeq annotates it as small nucleolar RNA U109. The transcript has a single exon. NCBI's taxonomy places the organism in Eukaryota, Metazoa, Chordata, Actinopteri, Beloniformes, Belonidae. The record is from RefSeq and is a predicted model, not a curated record.
AUGCAUGUUUUGGGCCCAGGCCCAUUUUUGGCCUCUUCUAAUGAACGUGGAGAGGACAAGUUAAAAACAUGCUAGAAUAACACCAUAACAUUUGGGAGGGAGUUAUCAGGGCCACCAGUCUUUCAAGGUCAGGCUGAGUCGGUAGUAUAAUACUCCCACAUUC